GAUUGAACGCUGGCGGUAGGCCUAACACAUGCAAGUCGAACGAUUAAAGCUCUCUUCGGAGAGUGCAUAGAGUGGCGCACGGGUGAGUAACACGUAAGUAAUCUACCUUCGAGUGGGGAAUAACGUCCGGAAACGGACGCUAAUACCGCAUAAUGCAGCGGCAUCGCAAGAUGACAGUUGCUAAAGGAGCAAUUCGCUUGAAGAGGAGCUUGCGGCAGAUUAGCUUGUUGGUAAGGUAACGGCUUACCAAGGCUACGAUCUGUAACCGGUCUAAGAGGACGGUCGGUCACACUGACACUGAAUAACGGGUCAGACUCCUACGGGAGGCAGCAGUCGGGAAUUUUGGGCAAUGGGGGAAACCCUGACCCAGCAACGCCGCGUGAAGGAUGAAGUAUUUCGGUAUGUAAACUUACGAAAGAAU
This 421-nucleotide ribosomal RNA is filed under the name uncultured bacterium. RNAcentral describes it as "bacterial SSU rRNA". It matches the Rfam family "Bacterial small subunit ribosomal RNA", at positions 27 to 442 of the family's 1533-position model. The record is from RNAcentral.